Molecule: long non-coding RNA, 998 nt
Filed under: Malus domestica (apple)
Lineage: Eukaryota; Viridiplantae; Streptophyta; Magnoliopsida; Rosales; Rosaceae
Description: long non-coding RNA (MDOM_LNC016576)
Source: RNAcentral
GUAGGUGAAGCUUUGAGGUGGAAGCUUUGUUGGGCACCAUGAAUUGAUUUUGCUUCACACUAUCUUGAUCAAGAUAGUGUGAACCUUUUGUAGGUGAAGCUUUUGUGUUGAAGUUUUGUAGGUCAAGCUUUUGUGGGUCAAACUUUUAUGGGUCAAGCUUUUAUAGGUCAAACUUUUGUGGGUCAAGCUUUUAUAGGUCAAGCUUUUGUGGGUUAAACUUUUAUAGAUCAAGCUUUUGUGGGUCAAGCUUUUGUGGGUCAAGCUUUUAUAGGUCAAGCUUUUGUGGGUCAAGCUUUUGUAGGUGAAGCUUUUAUGGGUGAAGCUUUUGUGUUGAAGCUUUUGUGGGUGAAGCUUUUAUGUUGAAGCUUUUGUAGGUGAAGCUUUGGAGUUGAAGCUUUGUAGGUGAAGCUUUGGAGUUGAAGCUUUUGUUGGGUACCAUGAAUUGAUUUUGCUUUACACUAUCUUGAUCAAGAUAGUGUGAAGCUUUUGAGAAUUUGUAGUUGUCCUCCAUUGAUGAAGUUUUUGUGUUGAAGCUUUUGUGUUGAAGCUUUUGUAGGUGAAGCUUUGGAGUUGAAGUUGAAGCUUUAUAGGUGAAGCUUUGGAGUUAAAGCUUUAUAGGUGAAGCUUUGGAGUUGAAGCUUUUGUUGGGUACCAUGAAUUGAUUUUGCUUUAAACUAUCUUGAUCAAGAUAGUGUGAACCUUUUGAGAAUUUGUAGUUGUCCUCCAUUGAUGAAGCUUUUGUGUUGAAGCUUUGUAGGUGAAGCUUUAAGGUUGAAGCUUUGUUGGGCACCAUGAAUUGAUUUUACUUUACACUAUCUUGAUCAAGAUAGUGUGAAGCUUUUGAGAGUUGUGGUUGAACUCCUUUGAUGAAGCUUUUGUUGGCACCAUAAAUUGGUUUUGCUUCACACUGUCUUGAUCAAGAGUGUGUGAUGUUUUUGAGAAUUGUGGUUGCCCUCCAUUGAUGAAGCUCUUGUUGGCUCCAUAAAUUGGUUUUGCUU